This is a long non-coding RNA of Xenia sp. Carnegie-2017, 432 nucleotides long. RefSeq lists it as uncharacterized. The record is from RefSeq and is a predicted model, not a curated record. The transcript is spliced from 2 exons. NCBI's taxonomy places the organism in Eukaryota, Metazoa, Cnidaria, Anthozoa, Malacalcyonacea, Xeniidae.
AUGGGAACUUCUUCACAACAUCUCUGCAAAGAAACGACGAUUUCAGGGUUGAAAUAUAUGUCGUUUGUGUCUCAUUUCAUUUUAAAUACGGUUCUCCUACCUACUACUUAACGUACCAAAACGUUUCUUUUUUGUUGUUCCCUUAAAGCAAGCCGAAAAGCUGAAUUCGGAAGCCGAUAAAGAUAGUUGUGCUUCGACUUCAACAAAGAUGGUAUGCGUUUGACAAAGACGAAAGCAAGAGGCUUCCUUAGUUUCCACCCAAUACACCAAAGAAACUGAGUCACCAAUUGUACUUGAAGGUUCAUUUUGGGAUGAUGAAAAAGAAGACAAUGAAAUAGUUAAGUACUUAUGUUAGCGUGCUUAUGUUUGUGUAUUGUGCUUGUGUUGCUCUACAUAAGAUUGAUAAAUAAAUCCAUUUAUUAAGAUUGUAAA